GCCCACAGCAGAGAACGCCUAUGAGUACUUCACCAAGAUCGCCUCCAGCCUGUUUGAGAGUGGCAUCAACCAGGGCCGUGUGGUGGCUCUCCUGGGCUUCGGCUACCAUCUGGUCCUACAUGUCUACCAGCGCGGCUUGACUGGCUUCCUGGGCCAGGUGACCCGCUUCGUGGUCUUCAUGCUGUAACACUGCAUCGCCUGGUGGAUCGCGCAGAGGAGCAGCUGGGUGGCAGCCCUGGACUUGGGCAAUGGUCCCAUCCUGAACGUGCUGGUGAUUCUGGGGGUGGUUCUGUUGGGCCUGUUUGUGGUACAAGGAUUCUUCAAAUCAUGACUCCCAAGGGUAUCCUUUGGGGUCCCAGCUGUGACCCCUGCCUGGACUUAAGCUAAGUCUUUGCCUUCUCUGCUCCCGUGCAGGGGUUGCCCUUCAAAAGCACAGAAGCUUUAGCAAGUGUGCACCCCAGCUUCGGAGGGCCCCUGUGUGGGGGCCAGUCAGGCUGCAGAGGUGCCUCAACAUCACCUGAUGCUAGUGGGCCCUCUCUCUGGGGCCAGGGGCUGUGCCCUCCUCCUUUGACUCUCUGGGACCUCCUUAGCCCUGUCUGCUAGGUGCUGUGGAGACUGAUAGCUUGGUGGGGGCGAGAGACUGGGAGCCACUUCUCCCCUGGAAGUGUUUAACGGUUUUAGCUUUUUAUAAUAGCCUUGGGAGAGCCCAUUCCCACCAUCCUACCCGAGGCCGGGACAGCUGGGGUGUGGGGGUUGGUGGGUCUACCCUAUGUUCCCCAGGAUUCAGCUGUUCUGGAAGAUCAAAGCCUAAGAGCUGGUACUUGAGGCUGGUCCUGGCCCUCCCUAAGCAUCAUGCAUCCCAGGAUCAGGACUGACUGGGAGAGGAGGACCAGGUCCUGCCCAGCUCUCUCCCUGCCCCCAUUCCUCCCUCUGGCCGUACUGCCUUUGCAGUUGGACUCAGGGAUUCUGGGCUUGGGGUGUGGGGCGGGGUGGAGUAACAGACCAGAGCUGUCUGAACUUAUCUGUCAGAAGCCUGCAAGCCUGCCUCCCAAGGUCCUCUCAGCUCUCUCCCUUCCUCUCUCCUUAUAGACACUUGCUCCCAACCCUUUCACUACAGGUGAAGGCCCUCCCCCGAUCCCUGGGGGCCUCGGGUGAGUGGUGUGCUAAGGCCCCUCCUUGCCCAGACCACAGGGCUUAGGACUUGGUUUGUUAUUUCAGGGAUAAGGAGUAGGGAGUUCAUCUGGAAGGCCUAAGUGGGAGAAGGACUAUCAACACCACUAGGAAUCCCAGAGGUGGGAUCCUCCCUCAUGGCUUUUGCACAGUGUAAUCCAGGGGUGGAGAUGGGGGAACUGUGAAUACCUGAACUCUGUCCCCCCACCCUCCAUGCUCCUCACCUGUCUGGGUCUCUCCUCGGGGUGGGCGUGAGGGUGCCUUCUCUAUCAGGCACAGCCUAGGAUGUUGGGGAUGAGGGGAGAGAAGUUCUUGAUUCAGCCAAAUGCAGGGAGGGGAGGCAGAUGGAGCCCACAGACCACUCCCUAUCCUCUGAGUGUUUGGAAAUAAACUGUGCAAUCUCAUUAAAAAAAAAAAAAAAAA
Macaca fascicularis (crab-eating macaque) is the source of this 1593-nucleotide long non-coding RNA. NCBI's taxonomy places the organism in Eukaryota, Metazoa, Chordata, Mammalia, Primates, Cercopithecidae. The record is from Ensembl.